UCCCAGAAGGGUGAUGGUAUCAUGGC
Molecule: non-coding RNA, 26 nt
Filed under: Rattus norvegicus (Norway rat)
Lineage: Eukaryota; Metazoa; Chordata; Mammalia; Rodentia; Muridae
Source: RNAcentral